GCCAGUUGGUUAAAGCAGCGGCAGGGCGAUGCGUGGUGCAUUCGUUGGCCGUUAAGUACGCCGAAUUAAAGGGAAACUCAUAUGGCUCCAAGUCACAUACUCAUCUCACAGAGGAAAGGAUUGGCCUGGAUUUGGAGCCCACCCAAUUACCUUCCAGCAGUAGUUUCCAACUACUGUUUGAGGCCUGAAGUGGUGAAAGUAUCCGGUAUUUCAAAAGGAAAAAAGGAAACGCUGAGAUAAAAGUCAGAAAAAUAAACGUAAUUUUGUGUAACAGAAA
This is a long non-coding RNA of Xiphias gladius (swordfish), 277 nucleotides long. RefSeq lists it as uncharacterized. The record is from RefSeq and is a predicted model, not a curated record. The transcript has 2 exons. NCBI's taxonomy places the organism in Eukaryota, Metazoa, Chordata, Actinopteri, Istiophoriformes, Xiphiidae.